UACAGAGGUCUCAAGCGUUGUCCGGAAUUAUUGGGCGUAAAGAGCUCGUAGGCGGUCUGUCGCGUCGGUCGUGAAAACUUGGGGCUUAACCCUGAGCUUGCGGUCGAUACGGGCAUGACUGGAGUUCGGCAGGGGAGACUGGAAUUCCUGGUGUAGCGGUGAAAUGCGCAGAUAUCAGGAGGAACACCGGUGGCGAAGGCGGGUCUCUGGGCCGAUACUGACGCUGAGGAGCGAAAGCGUGGGGAGCGAACAGG
RNAcentral lists this ribosomal RNA (254 nucleotides) under uncultured bacterium. RNAcentral describes it as "partial 16S ribosomal RNA". It matches the Rfam family "Bacterial small subunit ribosomal RNA", at positions 524 to 776 of the family's 1533-position model. The record is from RNAcentral.